UGGACCAAUGAUGAUAAUAUGUCAUGAACCGAGGAUUAUGAUUAAUCCAAUUAUGUUCACCUAAAUUCCAAA
Molecule: small nucleolar RNA, 72 nt
Filed under: Pteropus vampyrus (large flying fox)
Lineage: Eukaryota; Metazoa; Chordata; Mammalia; Chiroptera; Pteropodidae
Description: Small nucleolar RNA SNORD112 (ENSPVAG00000028499.1)
Source: RNAcentral